This 497-nucleotide ribosomal RNA is filed under the name uncultured bacterium. Its description in RNAcentral is "partial 16S ribosomal RNA". It matches the Rfam family "Bacterial small subunit ribosomal RNA", at positions 28 to 507 of the family's 1533-position model. The record is from RNAcentral.
GAUGAACGCUGGCGGCGUGCCUAAUACAUGCAAGUCGAGCGAACAGACGAGGAGCUUGCUCCUCUGACGUUAUCGGCGGACGGGUGAGUAACACGUGGAUAACCUACCUAUAAGACUGGGAUAACUUCGGGAAACCGGAGCUAAUACCGGAUAAUAUAUUGAACCGCAUGGUUCAAUAGUGAAAGACGGUUUUGCUGUCACUUAUAGAUGGAUCCGCGCCGCAUUAGCUAGUUGGUAAGGUAACGGCUUACCAAGGCAACGAUGCGUAGCCGACCUGAGAGGGUGAUCGGCCACACUGGAACUGAGAAACGGCCCAGACUCCGACGGGAGGCAGCAGUAGGGAAUCUUCCGCAAUGGGCGAAAGCCUGACGGAGCAACGCCGCGUGAGUGAUGAAGGUCUUCGGAUCGUAAAACUCUGUUAUUAGGGAAGAACAAAUGUGUAAGUAACUAUGCACGUCUUGACGGUACCUAAACAGAAAGCCACGGCUAACUACGUG